RNAcentral lists this ribosomal RNA (482 nucleotides) under uncultured bacterium. Its description in RNAcentral is "partial 16S ribosomal RNA". It matches the Rfam family "Bacterial small subunit ribosomal RNA", at positions 30 to 507 of the family's 1533-position model. The record is from RNAcentral.
AUUGAACGCUGGCGGCAUGCUUUAGACAUGCAAGUCGAACGGUAACAGGCCGCAAGGUGCUGACGAGUGGCGAACGGGUGAGUAAUGCAUCGGAACGUGCCCAGUCGUGGGGGAUAACUACUCGAAAGAGUAGCUAAUACCGCAUACGAUCUAUGGAUGAAAGCGGGGGACCGUAAGGCCUCGCGCGAUUGGAGCGGCCGAUGUCAGAUUAGGUAGUUGGUGGGGUAAAGGCUCACCAAGCCAACGAUCUGUAGCUGGUCUGAGAGGACGACCAGCCACACUGGGACUGAGACACGGCCCAGACUCCUACGGGAGGCAGCAGUGGGGAAUUUUGGACAAUGGGCGCAAGCCUGAUCCAGCAAUGCCGCGUGCAGGAAGAAGGCCUUCGGGUUGUAAACUGCUUUUGUACGGAACGAAACGGCUCUGGUUAAUACCCGGGGCUAAUGACGGUACCGUAAGAAUAAGCACCGGCUAACUACGUG